This 261-nucleotide long non-coding RNA is filed under the name Homo sapiens (human). Its description in RNAcentral is "HSALNT0345737". Lineage: Eukaryota; Metazoa; Chordata; Mammalia; Primates; Hominidae. The record is from RNAcentral.
GUGCAUCACAGCAAGGAUUAGUACACUCCUGGCAAUAACCACAAAAGAGAGAUGAGAAAUUGGGUCAUACUGCUUCCCUGUACUGAAGUGUGAUGUGAGACUAUUCAACUGCUGAAGAUCUGAUUUUACCUUUUGCUCAAGCUGUCCAUUAUUUCAGGCUGACUUUUAUUUUUUAAUGUAUCAUUAAAUAACAUCAAAAUGGUAACUUAUGCCCUAUUUUCUCAAACAAAAUAAAAACUCAAAGAAAAUGGAGUGUGGCCG